This 465-nucleotide ribosomal RNA is filed under the name uncultured bacterium. RNAcentral describes it as "partial 16S ribosomal RNA". It matches the Rfam family "Bacterial small subunit ribosomal RNA", at positions 28 to 507 of the family's 1533-position model. The record is from RNAcentral.
GACGAACGCUGGCGGCGUGCUUAACACAUGCAAGUCGAACGGAAAGGCCCCUUUGGGGGUACUCGAGUGGCGAAAGGGUGAGUAAUAUGUGAGUAACUUGCCCUUGACUUCGGGAUAACUUCAGGAAACUGGGGCUAAUACCGGAUAGGAAUCCUUGCUGCAUGGUGGGGGUUGGAAAGCUUCGGCGGUUUUGGAUGGACUCGCGGCUUAUCAGCUUGUUGGUGGGGUAGUGGCUUACCAAGGCUUUGACGCGUAGCCGGCCUGAGAGGGCGACCGGCCACAGUGGGACUGGGAUACGGCCCAGACGCCGACGGGAGGCAGCAGUGGGGGAUAUUGCACAAUGGGCGGGAGCCUGAUGCAGCAACGCCGCGGGCGGGAUGGCGGCCUUCGGGUUGUAAUCCGCUUUCAGCAGGAGCGGAGCUUGUGGUGACGGUACCUGCAGAAGAAGCACCGGCUAACUACGUG